Molecule: ribosomal RNA, 484 nt
Filed under: uncultured bacterium
Lineage: Bacteria
Description: partial 16S ribosomal RNA
Rfam family: Bacterial small subunit ribosomal RNA
Source: RNAcentral
AUUGAACGCUGGCGGCAGGCCUAACACAUGCAAGUCGAGCGGAUGAAGGGAGCUUGCUCCUGGAUUCAGCGGCGGACGGGUGAGUAAUGCCUAGGAAUCUGCCUGGUAGCGGGGGAUAACGUCCGGAAACGGGCGCUAAUACCGCAUACGUCCUGAGGGAGAAAGUGGGGGAUCCUCGGACCUCACGCUAUCAGCUGAGCCUAGGUCGGAUUAGCUAGUUGGUGGGGUAAAGGCCUACCAAGGCGACGAUCCGUAACUGGUCUGAGAGGAUGAUCAGUCACACUCGAACUGAGACACGGUCCAGACUCCUGAGGGAGGCCGCAGUGGGGAAUAUUAGACAAUAGGCGGAAGCCUGAUCCAGCCAUGCCGCGUGUGUGAAGAAGGUCUUCGGAUUGUAAAGCACUUUAAGUUGGGAGGAAGGGCAGUAAGUUAAUACCUUGCUGUUUUGACGGUACCAACAGAAUAAGCACCGGCUAACUUCGUG